GACAACAUGGCCGAGUGGUCUAAGGCGUUUGACUUGAAUUUUUCUAAUAUUUCUUAUCAAAUCUCUUCGGAGACGCAGGUUCGAAUCCUGCUGUUGUCG
RNAcentral lists this transfer RNA (99 nucleotides) under Talaromyces islandicus. Its description in RNAcentral is "Penicillium islandicum tRNA". It matches the Rfam family "tRNA". From Rfam's summary of the family: Transfer RNA (tRNA) molecules are approximately 80 nucleotides in length. Their secondary structure includes four short double-helical elements and three loops (D, anti-codon, and T loops). Lineage: Eukaryota; Fungi; Ascomycota; Eurotiomycetes; Eurotiales; Trichocomaceae. The record is from Rfam by way of RNAcentral.